This 253-nucleotide ribosomal RNA is filed under the name uncultured bacterium. Its description in RNAcentral is "partial 16S ribosomal RNA". It matches the Rfam family "Bacterial small subunit ribosomal RNA", at positions 524 to 776 of the family's 1533-position model. The record is from RNAcentral.
UACGUAGGGGGCGAGCGUUGUCCGGAAUCACUGGGCGUAAAGCGCGCGCAGGCGGUCUUUUACGUCCGGGGUGAAGGUCCAGGGCUCAACCCUGGGAUGGCCUUGGAUACGGGAAGACUUGAGGAUCGGAGAGGCAAGGGGAAUUCCACGUGUAGCGGUGAAAUGCGUAGAGAUGUGGAGGAACACCAGUGGCGAAGGCGCCUUGCUGGCCGAUAACUGACGCUGAGGCGCGAAAGCGUGGGGAGCAAACAGG